GCUUUGAAUUGGUGACCUUUA
RNAcentral lists this non-coding RNA (21 nucleotides) under Rattus norvegicus (Norway rat). Lineage: Eukaryota; Metazoa; Chordata; Mammalia; Rodentia; Muridae. The record is from RNAcentral.